This 136-nucleotide small RNA is filed under the name Azotobacter vinelandii. The record is from RNAcentral. Lineage: Bacteria; Pseudomonadati; Pseudomonadota; Gammaproteobacteria; Pseudomonadales; Pseudomonadaceae.
GACGUCGAAGGAACGACGCAGGCCGACCAGGGAUGGCGGCCAGGGAAAGUCGCAGGAUAGCGACCUCCUCAGGACGAGGAACCAGGGAUGCGGUUGAACGACGCGAAACGGCGAGGUUGAUCACCUCGCCGUUUUC